UUCUCUUAGCCUGUCUAUCAGCUUUUUAAAGGUGUAGUUCUUUCUCCACUCCUAAUAAAUAUUCUCCUCAGGAAUGUGACUGUAUUGUUUGCAGCUCUAUUUCUGGUCCAUCUCUCUUUCUGAGGCACAUGGGCACCUGUGAGCACUGCACAUCCAGGCCCAGACAUCUAUCAAAAUCUUUUCAGAGACUGUCACUGCCUCCAAGGUCUGUUCACUGUUCUGGGGAAUUAGCUUAUACUCACAGCUAGAACUAAUCCUGCCAAAUUCUUCAAGGAAUUCAGAGCUCCACAAGUUUAGCCCUCUAAUCUCUGCACACCAACAUGCUAUGUGCAACCAAAUUGUGUGCACAAUUUUACAGUAUAUUCCAUCUGAUUGCUUCUUCUUGAGUUGCUUUGCUGUCCUCCGCUUUUAUAAGGAUGCUUUGAUCUGUGGUUUUAGUUCAUGAAACCCUGUAUUAAUCUGCACACAUCUCAAAUUCUUCAUUAUGACCCUCAAAGAAAGAGCCUUCCUGAUGACAGACACAAAGUGGAGAAAAGUAUAGCCAAAAUAUGGAGAGACUCGUCUUUUUGAAGGCAUUGAUUGAGCUGCUAGAUCCAUCCACACUUGAAGGUAGAUGCAUCUCUGGACUUCCUUGACCUGUGACAUGAUUUGAAUAUGAUUUAUCUCUCAGCAGCUGAAAAAAGUAGUGGUGAGUAUUCCAUGUAAACAACUUAUUAUAAUAAUAGUGUACUUCCCCAUGACAUAUAUUUCUUUUCUAGAACUAUUAUUAUUCUUUAUGUU
This 780-nucleotide long non-coding RNA is filed under the name Callithrix jacchus (white-tufted-ear marmoset). RNAcentral's name for it is "lncRNA (ENSCJAG00000052903.2)". Lineage: Eukaryota; Metazoa; Chordata; Mammalia; Primates; Cebidae. The record is from RNAcentral.